Molecule: transfer RNA, 75 nt
Filed under: Synergistota bacterium
Lineage: Bacteria; Thermotogati; Synergistota
Description: Synergistetes bacterium (sediment metagenome) tRNA-Val
Rfam family: tRNA
About the family: Transfer RNA (tRNA) molecules are approximately 80 nucleotides in length. Their secondary structure includes four short double-helical elements and three loops (D, anti-codon, and T loops).
Source: RNAcentral
GGGUGGUUAGUUCAGAGGAAGAACGCUUCCCUGACACGGAAGAGGUCGCAGGUUCAAUUCCUGCACCACCCACCA